AAUAUACAGUUACAAUUUUACCAUAUCUCUAUUCUAUUUUGAAAUUAAAAUAAAAUUAGAUAAGUUUACGUAAUUCUCAAUUAAAUUUCAUAUGUCUCUAACUAUUUUAGGUUGGACUUGUCAUUCUUUUUAUAUCAGAGCAGAGACUCAACAAUGCUACAGUUUAUGGAGGUCCGACAAAGCAAAGGCGCCAAGACACAUCAACAAAAAAAAAAUUUUAUUGGAGUUUGUGUUUGAGAACCACAAUUUAAUACCCUGGCCGGUAACUUUAAUGGUGGUACAAAAAAAAACUACUGCCAAACAAAGAAUUGUUGCUUACCGCUGUCAAGAAAGCGUGACGCGAAUGAUUUUCAAACAAAUUUGGUAGGCAAGGUAAGUUUGUAAAGUCAGACAUUAUUAAGUAAAUUUUGGUAGCGUUAUACAUAAAAUAUGUAGAGCCGGAUUGCGACGACAGCAUUAAUAUUACAUAUAAUAAGCCAUCAGGUUGGAUAAAUGCUGACAAAUGGAGAGGUCAACUGUGUCAUAUGGCAAGAGUGCGGAAUAGUGACCGGUAAGAGCUAGUUACUUUGACAAUGACAGAAUCCAAAACACAUACAUCUAGCUAUGACAAAGAUUUACUGUGGACUGUAUAAAGUCAACUAACAAGCGGAGAUACUGGCAGCCAGCUGGAUUUCAUUGUUUAGCAUAGAGCGUAUUGAUGGGUAAGUGUAAAUGUACACGCAGAUUUGCCUCGUAGGUAGCUGGUCAGGACCGGAUAGACGUCAGCAGGUAUUUACAUAUAUGAUUAAAAAUUACUUGAAGCAACGGUUAAAGCGUGGACUGGGCACGUAGACACGUGAGCAGCUUUAGGCCUGGACAGUCAUUAAAUUCACACCAUCACUAGGCAGCAGCAGCCCUUUAGAUCUUCUUAUUAAAACAACACUUGGAAAAUAUUUCUUGGUUUCUUUAGUUGGUGCAACUGUCAAUUUGGCACGGAAUAUAUAGUAUCGACUGAGAAACUCUUGUUAUAGCCUCUGCCCAGUGGCUUAAGAAAUGUCACAUUUUCAAAUUUCACAUAUUGGUGUCCCAUUGGUUGUCGGUAACAUAAUGCGACCUCGAAGUAAGGGCUGUAUUUUACAUAUUCUUUACGACAUUUCGUCAUGUUUAGAUUCUAAAUUUGUUGUGGGAUUAGUACCAUUUAAAUUUUUUUUUUUAAGAUGCUGCUUGCACUCGUUGAUAUAUCAGCUGUUUUUGCGUUUGAUACUUUCACAUUUUUCCCAACAUCGAUAGAAAUCUCGAUUAAUCAUCGCAAAAAACACGAAAUUUUCGGGGCAAAAAUACACCUUUUUCAAAAAUGUGACAUUUUUACACAUUUUUCAAAUAUGUGACAUUUUUUCAAAAAUGUGACAUUUUCAGAAAUGUGUUUAGUGGACAGAGGUUAGAAUAAAUGGCAAGACCUAGAUGUGAAAUAGUUUGUCCUGACUAACUUACGAAAUGAUUACCAUACAAGGUUUAUUUUCCGAUAGCUUCCCCAUCGAGAGCAUUCCAUUAGUUUUUUUUAUCGAUAGUUCGACUGCCAUUCAAUCAGAAAAAUGUAUGCAUCUCUUUUUUAGUUAUUUUCAGUCGCGCUACUGAGGCCGGAGAUUACUAUUAAAAGUUAACAACUUGUAAGUGUCAAUUAUUCCUAGAGUUCUCGAUUGCUCUCCUAUAACACAAUAUAACAAUAUACAUAUGGACUUUUAUAUUGUUUCCGCCUAAACAAAUAAUAGUAUCGGUAACGCUUACUACGCAGAUAUAUAUGGCGACCCAUCUUGGUCAUUGUGAAAUUAAAAUAAAGUAAGUUUACGAGUUCGUAAAGUCUAACUCCGCCGCUGAAAGUGCUCAGGCUGCCAAUGUUGCUUUAGCCGUCCCUUUGAGUGCUGGGCUUUUGCUACUUGGAAAACGCCAACAUUUUCUUCUGCUGGUUGGACUUGUCAUUCUUUUUAUAUCAGAGCAGAGACUCAACAAUGCUACAGUUUAUGGAGGUCCGACAAAGCAAAGGCGCCAAGACACAUCAACAAAAAAAAAAUUUUAUUGGAGUUUGUGUUUGAGAACCACAAUUUAAUACCCUGGCCGGUAACUUUAAUGGUGGUACAAAAAAAAACUACUGCCAAACAAAGAAUUGUUGCUUACCGCUGUCAAGAAAGCGUGACGCGAAUGAUUUUCAAACAAAUUUGGUAGGCAAGGUAAGUUUGUAAAGUCAGACAUUAUUAAGUAAAUUUUGGUAGCGUUAUACAUAAAAUAUGUAGAGCCGGAUUGCGACGACAGCAUUAAUAUUACAUAUAAUAAGCCAUCAGGUUGGAUAAAUGCUGACAAAUGGAGAGGUCAACUGUGUCAUAUGGCAAGAGUGCGGAAUAGUGACCGGUAAGAGCUAGUUACUUUGACAAUGACAGAAUCCAAAACACAUACAUCUAGCUAUGACAAAGAUUUACUGUGGACUGUAUAAAGUCAACUAACAAGCGGAGAUACUGGCAGCCAGCUGGAUUUCAUUGUUUAGCAUAGAGCGUAUUGAUGGGUAAGUGUAAAUGUACACGCAGAUUUGCCUCGUAGGUAGCUGGUCAGGACCGGAUAGACGUCAGCAGGUAUUUACAUAUAUGAUUAAAAAUUACUUGAAGCAACGGUUAAAGCGUGGACUGGGCACGUAGACACGUGAGCAGCUUUAGGCCUGGACAGUCAUUAAAUUCACACCAUCACUAGGCAGCAGCAGCCCUUUAGAUCUUCUUAUUAAAACAACACUUGGAAAAUAUUUCUUGGUUUCUUUAGUUGGUGCAACUGUCAAUUUGGCACGGAAUAUAUAGUAUCGACUGAGAAACUCUUGUUAUAGCCUCUGCCCAGUGGCUUAAGAAAUGUCACAUUUUCAAAUUUCACAUAUUGGUGUCCCAUUGGUUGUCGGUAACAUAAUGCGACCUCGAAGUAAGGGCUGUAUUUUACAUAUUCUUUACGACAUUUCGUCAUGUUUAGAUUCUAAAUUUGUUGUGGGAUUAGUACCAUUUAAAUUUUUUUUUUAAAGAUGCUGCUUGCACUCGUUGAUAUAUCAGCUGUUUUUGCGUUUGAUACUUUCACAUUUUUCCCAACAUCGAUAGAAAUCUCGAUUAAUCAUCGCAAAAAACACGAAAUUUUCGGGGCAAAAAUACACCUUUUUCAAAAAUGUGACAUUUUUACACAUUUUUCAAAUAUGUGACAUUUUUUCAAAAAUGUGACAUUUUCAGAAAUGUGUUUAGUGGACAGAGGUUAGAAUAAAUGGCAAGACCUAGAUGUGAAAUAGUUUGUCCUGACUAACUUACGAAAUGAUUACCAUACAAGGUUUAUUUUCCGAUAGCUUCCCCAUCGAGAGCAUUCCAUUAGUUUUUUUUAUCGAUAGUUCGACUGCCAUUCAAUCAGAAAAAUGUAUGCAUCUCUUUUUUAGUUAUUUUCAGUCGCGCUACUGAGGCCGGAGAUUACUAUUAAAAGUUAACAACUUGUAAGUGUCAAUUAUUCCUAGAGUUCUCGAUUGCUCUCCUAUAACACAAUAUAACAAUAUACAUAUGGACUUUUAUAUUGUUUCCGCCUAAACAAAUAAUAGUAUCGGUAACGCUUACUACGCAGAUAUAUAUGGCGACCCAUCUUGGUCAUUGUGAAAUUAAAAUAAAGUAAGUUUACGAGUUCGUAAAGUCUAACUCCGCCGCUGAAAGUGCUCAGGCUGCCAAUGUUGCUUUAGCCGUCCCUUUGAGUGCUGGGCUUUUGCUACUUGGAAAACGCCAACAUUUUCUUCUGCUGGAAAUGCCCAAGCAAUUACAACGAGGACGAAUAUAUAUGACCAAACGCCUUGAAUAAAAUGUCAGCACCCGCUACGAUCAGAUGAUUCACUUCUUUGCUGGGAUACCCGUA
Drosophila novamexicana is the source of this 3885-nucleotide long non-coding RNA. RefSeq lists it as uncharacterized. Lineage: Eukaryota; Metazoa; Arthropoda; Insecta; Diptera; Drosophilidae. The record is from RefSeq and is a predicted model, not a curated record. The transcript has 5 exons.